This is a long non-coding RNA of Carcharodon carcharias (great white shark), 1361 nucleotides long. RefSeq lists it as uncharacterized. NCBI's taxonomy places the organism in Eukaryota, Metazoa, Chordata, Chondrichthyes, Lamniformes, Lamnidae. The transcript is spliced from 3 exons. The record is from RefSeq and is a predicted model, not a curated record.
UACUGCAUUGGAGGCUUUGCUGCAGGUGGUGGACAGGAGGCAAGAGGCUCUCCAGGCAAGCUCUCAGAAAGCAGUGGGACCAGAUAGCCAUUACGGUCAAUGCAAGCAAUGUCGCCCCUGAGGACUGGAUGCAGUGCUGCAUGAAGUUCAAUGAACUCACAUAAAUGAUCAAGGGCAAUGUGGUGUGUUACUGACAGCAUAGGGUCAUGCAGAGCUGCAUGUCCUCACCCCCGUGGAGGAGACUGUGUUGACCAUCACUGGAGUAUCCACGUCUGAGAUGCUGGCCAGUGGCGGAGCUGAAGCCAUUGCAGAUGACAGCACCCCUACCCUUGUACCUUUCUCCUUUCAGAUACCCAAUAUCUCUGUCUGAUCAGGACAGGGUGCAGGAGCCAGAAGUGGAAGAGAAAGAAGAGGCUGAUGAGGAAGAAACACUGUCACUCGCUCUGACACUUGUAGCCACCAGUUCAGAAACUGACACUGCACGUACUGUAGAGGAUAGCUUAAAGAUGGAACUGCACUCAAUGAGACACUGGACAUGAGUGAUCAGCAGGAAAGGGCAGUGCACGUGCCAGCUUGCCAGAGGAUGAGGCCAUACAUGAAUUUUGUUGCAGAGAACUCAGGUGAUGACUUUGAUAGGGCAGUCUACAGAAACAGCCUGAUGGGUAUACACAGUGAAAUGCUUCGUUCACCUGCAGGCCUCUCAGAGAGCCUGCAGUCACUGUCAAGGACACAGAGGAAUCCCACACCAGCCUGUAGAACACUUUGCACUGACCUUGAAACCAAUUCUUUCUAACAUAGAGGUGGUGGCCAACUCAAUGGGAACACCUGCGGACCAAACCAUGAUUCAACAUCUGUCUCAGCUUCCAAUUCAGCAUAAACAGAACCACACUGAGCACUGCAAUGGAAGCUCAGACUGAAAUCAUGUAAGCUCAGGCCACUGCCACUGUGGCUGUAGGUACCUUUCUCAAAGGGGCUUGCAAGCCCCCGCAGCAGGCCAGCAAUUUGCCAUUCAGCACAUUAUUAGGAUCACUGAGGUGUCACCCCAGCAAACUGGUAGUAGCUCCAUGGAGAACUAAUCUGCUGUCCUCUCUCAAGAAGACAGCAUUUGUCCUCCCACCAUAAGUGCUCUUGCUAUUGGCUGUAAUCCAACCAUCCCGGACAGCUGGUGCCCAUGCUGAAGUGGUCCAGUCUGAAGCUGGGCCGACUAUACCCAGAGCUGCAUGAGGUUGUACUGCAAGUUCAUUGCCAGUCUCCCCCAUUGAAAGCCAGCAGCCUUCCACUAGUCAUGCUGCAGUCGCUGGGUGAGGCUGCAAAGGAGCACUAGGCCAGGCAAAGGCACCCAUAGGGCUGACACUUAGGAA